GAUGAAGAACGUAGCGAAAUGCGAUAAGUAGUGUGAAUUGCAGAAUUCCGUGAAUCAUCGAAUCUUUGAACGCACAUUGCGCCUUCUGGCAUUCCGGAAGGCAUGCCUGUUCGAGAGUCAUUAACAACCGUUUCGAUCCCUUUCUUUCAGAAAUUACAAAGAGGAAAAGGGUUUGGUUAUGGUGGAGGAGGGAAAGGGAGCGUUUAGCCUGUAAAAAAAGAGGCUGUGUUCCGCCUCCCCCCCAAAAUUGUACAGGCGGUCGUGUGCGCCCACGCAUCGAGGUGUUGUAAAAGCUGCCACGGCACUUUUCACCUGUGCAGUGCGAGAUUGGCCAGCCGGUUUAAAAACCCCUCCAAACAAUCAAAGGUUGACCUCGGAUCAGGUAGGGAUACCCGCUGAACUUAAGCAUAUCAAUAAGCGGAGGA
Molecule: unclassified non-coding RNA, 425 nt
Filed under: soil metagenome
Description: partial contains 5.8S ribosomal RNA, internal transcribed spacer 2, and large subunit ribosomal RNA
Rfam family: 5.8S ribosomal RNA (bases 1-120)
Source: RNAcentral